GACGAACGCUGGCGGCGUGCUUAACACAUGCAAGUCGAACGGUGAAGCGCCUUCCUUUUUGUUGUGUGUGUAUGAGUGGCGAACGGGUUAGUAACACGUGAGUAACCUGCCCCCUCCUUCUGGAUAACCGCAUGAAAGUGUGGCUAAUACGUGAUAUUCUGGGUCUGUUGCAUGAUGGGUCUGGAAAAGAUAUUGUUUCGGUGGGGGAUGGGGUCGCGCACUAUCAGCUUGUUGGUGGGGUGAUGGCCUACCAAGGCGAUGACGAGUAGCCGGCCUGAGAGGGUGGGCGGACACAGUGAGAAUGCGAGGUGGAACAGACUAAUAGAGGCGGCAGUAGUGGGGAAUAUUGCACAGUGGGCAGAAGGAUGAUGCAACGACGCCGGGUGCGGGAUGGAGGUCUGAGGGUAGUGAACCGCUUUCGGCAGUGAAGAAGGCCUGCAUCGAUUGUGGGUGGGUUGACGGUAGCUAAAUAAGAAGCGCCGGCUAACUACGUG
This 494-nucleotide ribosomal RNA is filed under the name uncultured bacterium. RNAcentral's name for it is "partial 16S ribosomal RNA". It matches the Rfam family "Bacterial small subunit ribosomal RNA", at positions 28 to 507 of the family's 1533-position model. The record is from RNAcentral.